Molecule: non-coding RNA, 121 nt
Organism: Picea glauca (white spruce)
Lineage: Eukaryota; Viridiplantae; Streptophyta; Pinopsida; Pinales; Pinaceae
Source: Rfam
AUGUAAUGUAAUGCCUACAAUGUUAAUGCAUCAGAUCCCAUUAAAACUCCGCAGUUAAGUGCACUUGGGUUAGAGUAGCACUGGAUGGGUGACCUCCUGGGAAGUCCUAGUGUUUUGCAUG